AGCAGCCGCGGUAAUUCCAGCUCCAAUAGCGUAUAUUAAAGUUGUUGCAGUUAAAAAGCUCGUAGUUGAAUUUCGGGGUUAGUAGGCUGGUCAUGCCACCGGUAUGUACUGGUCUUACUGGCUCCUCCUUCCUGAUGAACCGUAAUGCCAUUAAUUUGGUGUUGCGGGGAAACUGGACUGUUACUUUGAAAAAUUAGAGUGUUUAAAGCAGGCUAACGCUUGAAUACAUUAGCAUGGAAUAAUGAAAUAGGACGUUCGAUCUUAUUUUGUUGGUUUCUAGGAUUGACGUAAUGAUUAAUAGGGAUAGUUGGGGGCAUUAGUAUUCAAUUGUCAGAGGUGAAAUUCUUGGAUUUUAUUGAAGACUAACUACUGCGAAAGCAUUUGCCA
This 387-nucleotide small RNA is filed under the name uncultured Glomus. Its description in RNAcentral is "SSU rRNA". It matches the Rfam family "Eukaryotic small subunit ribosomal RNA", at positions 569 to 960 of the family's 1831-position model. The record is from RNAcentral. Lineage: Eukaryota; Fungi; Glomeromycota; Glomeromycetes; Glomerales; Glomeraceae.